This 253-nucleotide ribosomal RNA is filed under the name uncultured bacterium. RNAcentral's name for it is "partial 16S ribosomal RNA". It matches the Rfam family "Bacterial small subunit ribosomal RNA", at positions 524 to 776 of the family's 1533-position model. The record is from RNAcentral.
UACGAAGGGGGCUAGCGUUGUUCGGAUUUACUGGGCGUAAAGGGCGCGUAGGCGGCCUAAACAGUCAGGUGUGAAAGCCCUGGGCUCAACCCGGGAACUGCACUUGAUACUGCUAGGCUUGAGGACCGGAGAGGAUGGUGGAAUUCCCAGUGUAGAGGUGAAAUUCGUAGAUAUUGGGAAGAACACCGGUGGCGAAGGCGGCCAUCUGGACGGUAUCUGACGCUGAGGCGCGAAAGCGUGGGGAGCAAACAGG